This 1672-nucleotide ribosomal RNA is filed under the name human gut metagenome. Its description in RNAcentral is "bacterial LSU rRNA". It matches the Rfam family "Bacterial large subunit ribosomal RNA", at positions 1152 to 2710 of the family's 2925-position model. The record is from RNAcentral.
AGUGGUUCCGCGCCGACAAUGUAGCGGGGCUCAAGCACACCACCGAAGACGCGGCAGUAGCUUUGCUACUGGGUAGGAGAGCGUCCCAUGCGGGGCGAAGCGGCGGCGCAAGCCCGCCGUGGACUGCAUGGGAGUGAGAAUGCAGACAUGAGUAGCGAAAGACGGGUGAAGAUCCCGUCCGCUGGACGACCAAGGGUUCCAGGGCCACGUUCAUCGUCCCUGGGUGAGUCGGGUCCUAAGGCGAGGCCGACAGGCGUAGUCGAAUGGAUGAACGGGUCGAUAUUCCCGUACCGGCAUGCAACCGACAAAACCGAAUCCGCGAGUACUAACCUCCGGGUCCGGGCUUACGUCUCCUUCGGGAGCCGGAUGCCCUGGCCUGUUGGGACCGUAACGGUAGUAGGUCAGCGCGGGAGUGACGCAGAAGGGUAGCCGGCCGCGGAGGUGGUCUUCCGUGGUCAAGCACGCAGCCCGUCCCACAGGCAAAUCCGUGGGGCGCGUGGGCGAGGUGCGAUGAUGGGCGCCGCAGGGCGCGAUAUCCGGUGAUCCCGGCUGCCGAGAAAAGCUUCGGCGUGAGGCGGCGUGCCGCCCGUACCCCAAACCGACACUGGUGGUCAGGUAGAGAAUACCAAAGCGAUCGAGCGAAUCCUGGUCAAGGAACUCGGCAAAUCACUCCCGUUCCUUCGGUUUAAGGGAGACCCCCGAUGGUGAAGCGGCUUGCCCGUGGAGCUUUUGGGGGUGGCACAGACCAGGGGGUAGCGACUGUUUACCAAAAACACAGGAGCGUGCGAAGGCGCAAGCCGCUGUAUACGCUCUGACGCCUGCCCGGUGCCGGAAGGUUAAGAGGAUCCGUCAGGCUUCGGCCGAAGCGGUGAAUUCAAGCCCCGGUAAACGGCGGUGGUAACUAUAACCAUCCUAAGGUAGCGAAAUUCCUUGUCGGGUAAGUUCCGACCUGCACGAAUGGCGUAACGACUUCCCCACUGUCUCGACCAGGAGCUCGGCGAAAUUGCAGUACGAGUAAAGAUGCUCGUUAAGCGCAGAAGGACGAAAAGACCCCGGGACCUUUACUAUACCUUGGUAUUGGCAUUCGGUGUGGAUUGUGUAGCAUAGGCGGAAGGCUUCGAAGCCACGGCGCCAGCCGCGGUGGAGCCGCAAGGUGAAAUACCGCUCUGUUCGCAUUGGAUGUCUAACCUCGACCAGUCAUCCUGGUCAGGGACAGUGCCUGGCGGGUAGUUUAACUGGGGCGGUUGCCUCCCAAAGAGUAACGGAGGCGCUCAAAGGUUCCCUCAGCCCGGUUGGCAAUCGGGUGGCGAGUGUAAGUGCACAAGGGAGCUUGACUGCGAGACUGACGGGUCGAGCAGGGACGAAAGUCGGAACUAGUGAUCCGGUGCCGGUGUACGGACGCGGCAUCGCUCAACGGAUAAAAGGUACCCCGGGGAUAACAGGCUGAUCAUUCCCAAGAGUCCAUAUCGACGGGAUGGUUUGGCACCUCGAUGUCGGCUCGUCGCAUCCUGGGGCUGGAGCAGGUCCCAAGGGUUCGGCUGUUCGCCGAUUAAAGCGGCACGCGAGCUGGGUUCAGAACGUCGUGAGACAGUUUGGUCUCUAUCCUCUGCGCUCGUCGGAAUGUUGAGGAGGCCUGCCCAUAGUACGAGAGGACCUGGGUGGACGAACCUCU